GUGGGGAAUUUUGGACAAUGGGCGCAAGCCUGAUCCAGCAAUGCCGCGUGCAGGAAGAAGGCCUUCGGGUUGUAAACUGCUUUUGUACGGAACGAAACGGUUCUCUCUAAUACAGGGGGCUAAUGACGGUACCGUAAGAAUAAGCACCGGCUAACUACGUGCCAGCAGCCGCGGUAAUACGUAGGGUGCAAGCGUUAAUCGGAAUUACUUGGCGUAAAGCGUGCGCAGGCGGUUUUGUAAGACAGAGGUGAAAUCCCCGGGCUCAACCUGGGAACUGCGUUUGUGACUGCAAGGCUGGAGUGCGGCAGAGGGGGAUGGAAUUCCGCGUGUAGCAGUGAAAUGCGUAGAUAUGCGGAGGAACACCGAUGGCGAAGGCAAUCCCCUGGGCCUGCACUGACGCUCAUGCACGAAAGCGUGGGGAGCAAACAGGAUUAGAUACCCCUGUAGUCC
Molecule: ribosomal RNA, 450 nt
Filed under: uncultured bacterium
Lineage: Bacteria
Description: partial 16S ribosomal RNA
Rfam family: Bacterial small subunit ribosomal RNA
Source: RNAcentral